AUGAAAAGGGCAAACGUCGAAACAGCGUGUCCCUACGUGUCCGGUGGUUAUAAGAAUUGCAAAGAUAACACGUGCUUUAAAGUGAAUUGCUCUGUUUGUGACUCUUUCAAAGGGACGGGGGUGGCAAUGUCAGAAACCGUUUCUUUGAACCCCACGAGAAGAGAUAAGCUCCUUUCCUUCCUGACUUCUUCCAAUAAAGGGAGAGGAGCCACACUGAGAGAGGCAGAAAGGACGCCAGGCAGGAGGUGGGUGUUCUGGUUUUAUUAUCCUUCCCAGCCCGUGAUGGACGCCGGCCAGACUGGCCAGGCAGUGGCCAAUCCUGACCUCGUUUCACCCCGAGAAGCGGCGAGUGGGGUUGGUGACAAGCCUUGGAGGGGGGCGUGUCAAAGGCAUGAGUCUGAGCCCCCCCCCCCCCCAUUGUAUUUACCGUGUGAGCUUGGGAAAUCCACAUAACCUUUCUGAGCCUCAUUUUCCUAGCGGUAGAAUUGAGGGCGAUGAGAACAGUACCUGUCUAACAAAAUCGCUGCAAAGAUUAGAUAAGAGAGUGAUUUAUCAAGUGGAAAGUGCUGUGCAGAUGAUAGUUAUUAUUGUAGAUGAUCUCAGUUAUUCCUUUCAGUCCUAGAGAUUUGUGAUUCUAAAUGCAGCAGUGUAAGCCAGAGGCUUAUUUUUUCUCAAGCAGCUAUUGAAAUGGUUUCUCCCAAGUUUCCAGUUCUUAAUGCACAAUCGAGGCACUGUCUCCUUGGGAGAAAGUGUCCUUUUGAGGCACUGUCUCUCUGGGAGAAAGUGUCCUUCCUUGGGGCUGUGCCUGGCACAGGGAUGUUGGGGGUGACUGGGGGACUCAGAUAAGCCAAGUCCCCCCUUGAUCUGGGGGAAUGUAGAGUUGUAGAAUAUAAUCAGAACUUUUCAGAUAAAUCUAGUUUGUCUUCAUCACAUGCAGAGUUUUCAAAUCCCCCCUUUUAGUUUAUGAUUUAUUAUUUUUAAAUGUCUAUUUAUGUAUUUUGAGAGAGAGAGCACAAGUGGGAGGGUCAGAGAGAGAGAGGGAGAGAGAGAAUCCCAAGCAGACCCCACACUCAGUGCAGAGCCCUAUGUGGGGCUCGAUCCCACAACUGCGAGAUCACGACCUGAGCCGAUAGCAAGAGUCAGAUGCUCAACAGACUGAGCCACCCAGGCGCCUCCCACCCUUUUAAAAUCCAAAGGUCCGCUAGAGUCAAGAUGGCCUCCUGGACAUUAGAUAGCCUCAUGGGGAGGGCCGGGAGGCAUUUUGAUGAGCAAAGUGUAAAUGAAUUUGAACCGUGUGGAUUUGAUGUGCCCCAUGCUAUAUACAUGCUUACGUAUUGAACAGACAAUAUGGUGUUUCCCACCUAAACUCUAGACGUUUAUAAAUAGAUCAAGACGCACCCUUAUGUGGUUGAGUGUUUGGCUUGGAGGGGCACAGCCAGACCGUAGCCAGGGUCAGGGGUCCUGAUGAGCCCCUUCAAACUCUUAGGUUCCUACGCCUUUGGACAAGCCAGCCUUUUCUGCACGACUGGGUACCAAAGUUGUGGGCUCAGUACGAGGGGAAGACACAGGUGUCCGUGUUCAAAAAUGACGACUUUUGAGAUGGCGGUAGAGAGCGCGGGUAGAGAGCCCCCCGGGUCCCUGUGUGACUUCAGAGUCUAACACAUGAUUCCUCCCCUCCCGCUGUGUCACUCCCAAGCUCAGCUCUGUUUUUCCUGCUCACUGAGCCUCUCUUGACUCUCCAGGAGGCGGAGGCACCUCCACCACGCUCCGGAAGCAUCUCUCUCACCUCUGUGGUGCACCUGUUAACUGUAAUGGACUGUUUCUGUAUUCAUUUAUUCACUCGGCAAACACUGAUGCGUGGGGCACCGUGCAGAGUGCUGGCACGCACAUUCUGGGAGCCUGGAGGAGGGGGACUUAGCCUGGAGGGUCUCGGAAACUUUUCUGUAGGAGAUAGUGCUUGAAUUGAGUCUUGAAGGACCAGUGACUGUAAGAAGAAGAUUGGAAAAUACGAACCACCAAGAGCAAAGCCGUGGAGGCAAGGGACGGCCAGGUUCAUGCAGUGUUGUCGGUGCGUGAAGCUUGGGACAGGGUCUGAGGUUAAAUGGGGCUGGAAGGGCUGGGUCAGCAUUAGGUUAUUGGGAGCCUCAUAAGCCAAGCGGCUCACUCUGGCUCUGAAAGGUUGCAGGCAGGGGAUACGGUCAGAUUUUCCACUGCCGAUUGAUUGCUCGGGUUGCAGUGGGAAUAACAGAUCAAUCCGCAUGGAAGCGGGUAGACAGAAGAAGAGGUGAUUCCAGGCAAGAAAUAAAGGCGACCUCAGAUAAAAUAGGAACUGUGGG
RNAcentral lists this long non-coding RNA (2336 nucleotides) under Felis catus (domestic cat). RNAcentral describes it as "lncRNA (ENSFCAG00000047203.1)". Lineage: Eukaryota; Metazoa; Chordata; Mammalia; Carnivora; Felidae. The record is from RNAcentral.